GACGAACGCUGGCGGCGUGCUUAACACAUGCAAGUCGAACGGUGAAGGGACCGGUUUUUGCUGGUUCUGGAUGAGUGGCGAACGGGUGAGUAACACGUGAGUAACCUGCCCCCUUCUUCUGGAUAACCGCAUGAAAGUGUGGCUAAUACGGGAUAUUCUGCGCCUGCUGCAUGGUGGGUGUGGGAAAGAUAUUGUUUCGGUGGGGGAUGGGCUCGCGGCCUAUCAGCUUGUUGGUGGGGGGAUGGCCUACCAAGGCGGUGACGGGUAGCCGGCCUGAGAGGGUGGACGGUCACACUGGGACGGAGACACGGAGCAGACUACUACGGGCGGCAGCAGUGGGGAAUAGUGCACAAUGGGCGCAAGCCUGAUGCAGCGACGCCGCGUGAGGGAUGGAGUCCUUCGGGUUGUAAACCUCUUUCGCCAGUGAAGCAGGCCUGUCCCUUUUGUGGGUGGGUUGACGGUAGCUGGAUAAGAAGCGCCGGCUAACUACGUG
Molecule: ribosomal RNA, 493 nt
Filed under: uncultured bacterium
Lineage: Bacteria
Description: partial 16S ribosomal RNA
Rfam family: Bacterial small subunit ribosomal RNA
Source: RNAcentral